UGUGAGCCAGCGUCUGGGGAGAAGAGGCCAUUUCCGGUGGCAUCUGGAGCAAAUAACAUAAAUCAGCACUUUCUUGCAUUAGGAAGUGGAAGACUAAUGACCGAAGCUUUAAGAACUGGGCAAAUAGGGAAACAAACUGAUGGUAAACUGAGGGAGAGCAGAAAUGACAUAAGUCACCUCGAUGGGUCAGCACAGGAUGGAGCACAGCUGAGUGCAGGCGGGCAUUUUCACGGCCCUCUGCGGGGGAAGUCAGACAGGGCACACUGGCCUCACUGUCAUCUUUACACCAUUUUGCUUGUUUCUAGAAGCUACUUAAUGCACAGGGUGCAAAAGUUCAAAAGGUGUAUGAGAAAGUCAACUUCCAUUUUUAUUGAAGGCUCUGGAAAAAAUACAAACGCCACUUAGAACCAGUGGUAAACUGCAAAAAAUCUGGUAAAUCAUCCAGACUGUCGCAAGCACUCAGAUGUUUGAAAUGCUGUAGAAAACUCGAGAGUCACAACAGCCUAUGAAAAGAGAGAUCCUGCUAAGAACAGUGCAAUGGAAGUAAACAACCUUGGUUCAGAGGAGGCUGCUGUUGAGAAGUUGAGGGUGGAGGUGGGGGUAUGGAGCAAACUUGGUGAAAUCUGGUGGGAGGAAGCACCAAGCAGAGAGAAGAACAAGGAAACAAAUUGACUGGGCUGGAGAGAACAAGGGAGAAAGACACAGGAGAUGGACUUUCUUCACACAGAGAAGAGAGAGGCAGAUGGUGACGGAGUCCUUGGGCCUAGAAAAGAAAACAGCGGUCUCCAAGGCCCUUGCUGAAUCAUCUGACUUUGGGGAAAACAAAACCGAACUUUAAGUCCCGCCCUGAUGCUCUGGGACUUACCGUCCCCUGCCCAGGGGACUUAUCGCCCCCUGCCCAAAACCUCCCACCCCCUGUUCAACUACAAAUGCCAUCUCAGCUGAAGAUUACUGAAAACGUCCUGCCUGCCUAACAUUUCCCUCAUCGCUUCCACAAACCUCCCUUUAAAUAUGAAGCCUCCCUGAUCCGUCUUACACGCAGCCUGGUCGUUAGGCCGACUGUCACCCCUCCUUGCCUGAAUAAAGGUAACCUACUUUUCUUGA
Bubalus bubalis (water buffalo) is the source of this 1104-nucleotide long non-coding RNA. RefSeq lists it as uncharacterized. The record is from RefSeq and is a predicted model, not a curated record. NCBI's taxonomy places the organism in Eukaryota, Metazoa, Chordata, Mammalia, Artiodactyla, Bovidae. The transcript is spliced from 4 exons.